Molecule: ribosomal RNA, 497 nt
Filed under: uncultured bacterium
Lineage: Bacteria
Description: partial 16S ribosomal RNA
Rfam family: Bacterial small subunit ribosomal RNA
Source: RNAcentral
GAUGAACGCUGGCGGCGUGCCUAAUACAUGCAAGUCGAGCGAACAGACGAGGAGCUUGCUCCUCUGACGUUAGCGGCGGACGGGUGAGUAACACGUGGAUAACCUACCUAUAAGACUGGAAUAACUUCGGGAAACCGGAUCUAAUACCGGAUAAUAUAUUUAACUGCAUGGUUCAAUAGUGAAAGACGGUUUUGCUGUCACUUAUAGAUGGAUCCGCGCCGCAUUAGCUAGUUGGUAAGGUAACGGCUUACCAAGGCGACGAUGCGUAGCCGACCUGAGAGGGUGAUCGGCCACACUGGAACUGAGACACGGUCCAGACUCCUACGGGAGGCAGCAGUAGGGAAUCUUCCGCAAUGGGCGAAAGCCUGACGGAGCAACGCCGCGUGAGUGAUGAAGGUCUUCGGAUCGUAAAACUCUGUUAUUAGGGAAGAACAAAUGUGUAAGUAACUAUGCACGUCUUGACGGUACCUAAUCAGAAAGCCACGGCUAACUACGUG